GAUGAAGAACGUAGUGAAAUGCGAUAAGGAAUGUGAAUUGCAGAAUUCAGUGAAUCAUCGAAUCUUUGAACGCACAUUGCGCCCCCUGGUAUUCCGGGGGGCAUGCCUGUUCGAGCGUCAUUUCAACCCUCAAGCUCUGCUUGGUAUUGGGCGUCGCCGGGGAGUCUCCCCGGCGUGCCUCAAAGCCAUCGGCGGUGGUGCCUUUCUCUAAGCGUGGUAGAAUUUUUAUUCGCUUCUGAGUUGGGCUUCGCCUGCCGGACAAACCGGGCCCUCGCGGCCCACCUUCUCAGGUUGACCUCGGAUCAGGUAGGGAUACCCGCUGAACUUAAGCAUAUCAAUAAGCGGAGGA
Molecule: unclassified non-coding RNA, 349 nt
Filed under: soil metagenome
Description: partial contains 5.8S ribosomal RNA, internal transcribed spacer 2, and large subunit ribosomal RNA
Rfam family: 5.8S ribosomal RNA (bases 1-120)
Source: RNAcentral